Long non-coding RNA from Perca fluviatilis (European perch), 276 nucleotides. RefSeq lists it as uncharacterized. The record is from RefSeq and is a predicted model, not a curated record. Lineage: Eukaryota; Metazoa; Chordata; Actinopteri; Perciformes; Percidae. The transcript is spliced from 3 exons.
CCUGAGGACCACUGUGUCUGCUCAUGCCGUUUUAAGGCCAAGAACAACCGGCCUGCCGAUUAGCGGAAGAUGGUGGCCACCUUUAUGUGCUACAACAGGGCCACAGCUGACUGCUUCUACGCCCUCAGCCUGAACGUGGCCCAGUCAAAGAGGAUGAGGGAGCAUUUCCGCUAGGCCCUCACCCCCUACCAGGAGUCAGGGACCUCGGGACUGGAGGAGGAGAGGGAGUUUAUGGCGAGGCUGCAAAAUACACCAGAGAAGGCCGAUCAGGAUGAG